UACGUAGGGUGCAAGCGUUGUCCGGAAUUAUUGGGCGUAAAGAGCUCGUAGGCGGUUUGUCGCGUCUGCUGUGAAAACUCAGGGCUUAACCCUGAGCCUGCAGUGGGUACGGGCAGACUAGAGUGUGGUAGGGGAGAUCGGAAUUCCUGGUGUAGCGGUGGAAUGCGCAGAUAUCAGGAGGAACACCGGUGGCGAAGGCGGGUCUCUGGGCCGUAACUGACGCUGAGGAGCGAAAGCGUGGGGAGCGAACAGG
RNAcentral lists this ribosomal RNA (253 nucleotides) under uncultured bacterium. RNAcentral's name for it is "partial 16S ribosomal RNA". It matches the Rfam family "Bacterial small subunit ribosomal RNA", at positions 524 to 776 of the family's 1533-position model. The record is from RNAcentral.